CCUACGGGUGGCUGCAGUGGGGAAUAUUGGACAAUGGGGGCAACCCUGAUCCAGCCAUGCCGCGUGUGUGAAGAAGGCCCUCGGGUUGUAAAGCACUUUCAGUGAGGAAGAACGCCUGGUGGUUAAUACCCAUCAGGAAAGACAUCACUCACAGAAGAAGCACCGGCUAACUCCGUGCCAGCAGCCGCGGUAAUACGGAGGGUGCGAGCGUUAAUCGGAAUUACAGGGCGUAAAGCGCGCGUAGGUGGCUUGAUAAGCCGGUUGUGAAAGCCCCGGGCUCAACCUGGGAACGGCAUCCGGAACUGUCAAGCUAGAGUGCAGGAGAGGAAGGUAGAAUUCCCGGUGUAGCGGUGAAAUGCGUAGAGAUCGGGAGGAAUACCAGUGGCGAAGGCGGCCUUCUGGACUGACACUGACACUGAGGUGCGAAAGCGUGGGUAGCAAACAGGAUUAGAUACCCUUGUAGUC
This 465-nucleotide ribosomal RNA is filed under the name Vreelandella stevensii. RNAcentral describes it as "partial 16S ribosomal RNA". It matches the Rfam family "Bacterial small subunit ribosomal RNA", at positions 338 to 795 of the family's 1533-position model. The record is from RNAcentral. Lineage: Bacteria; Pseudomonadati; Pseudomonadota; Gammaproteobacteria; Oceanospirillales; Halomonadaceae.